RNAcentral lists this ribosomal RNA (464 nucleotides) under uncultured bacterium. RNAcentral's name for it is "partial 16S ribosomal RNA". It matches the Rfam family "Bacterial small subunit ribosomal RNA", at positions 339 to 795 of the family's 1533-position model. The record is from RNAcentral.
CUACGGGAUGCUGCAGUGGGGAAUAUUGCACAAUGGGCGCAAGCCUGAUGCAGCCAUGCCGCGUGUAUGAAGAAGGCCUUCGGGUUGUAAAGUACUUUCAGCGGGGAGGAAGGGAGUAAAGUUAAUACCUUUGCUCAUUGACGUUACCCGCAGAAGAAGCACCGGCAAACUCCGUGCCAGCAGCCGCGGUAAUACGGAGGGUGCAAGCGUUAAUCGGAAUUACUGGGCGUAAAGCGCACGCAGGCGGUUUGUUAAGUCAGAUGUGAAAUCCUCGGGCUCAACCUGGGAACUGCAUCUGAUACGGGCAAGAUUGAGUCUCGUAGAGGGGGGUAGAAUUCCAGGUGUAGCGGUGAAAUGCGUAGAGAUCUGGAGGAAUACCGGUGGCGAAGGCGGCCCCCUGGACGAAGACUGACGCUCAGGUGCGAAAGCGUGGGGAGCAAACAGGAUUAGAUACCCGAGUAGUC